CAGUGCGAUGCCAGUAGCACCCUCAACUGUGAAAAUAAAAAAUGUCUCCAGACAUCGCCACUUGUUUCCUGAGGGCUAAAUUACCAGUUGUUGUAAACUACUGUUUUACAUACUUUUUGGUUUUUUAAUCUCUAAAGAGAGGAGUUGUGAAAAGAUGUGUCUUUUCCAGCUCUGAUAUUCUCUGACCUGUCCAGCUAUGCUCACAAAAUUGAUGAGAAACUCUAUCUGUUCUUAUCAGAUGCAGAUAAGAAACGUGGGAAGCCACAAGAAAGCCAAGUAGCCUGGGAAAAAGUGGUCAUUGAGCCAUGAGAAAAAAUUAACAUUUGAUCCUGUUGGUGCCACCUGAAGGCAGAGAUGGCUGAGGACCCCCGAGUCUCCAUCCAUGUUGCUGCAAAUGAUAGAAUCUCAUCUUUUUUUCAAUUGCUGAAUAGUACUCCGAAACAGUGUGUAUUUGGUAAGUGCUGAUAUAUGUAAACACCACUGAAGUCUUCAGCAAAAUCAGAAUAAUGAACAUGUGUCAAUCCCAAAAACUUCUAU
Homo sapiens (human) is the source of this 537-nucleotide long non-coding RNA. Ensembl annotates it as long intergenic non-protein coding RNA 2392. NCBI's taxonomy places the organism in Eukaryota, Metazoa, Chordata, Mammalia, Primates, Hominidae. The record is from Ensembl.